RNAcentral lists this small nuclear RNA (161 nucleotides) under Microcebus murinus (gray mouse lemur). RNAcentral describes it as "U1 spliceosomal RNA (ENSMICG00000046743.1)". It matches the Rfam family "U1 spliceosomal RNA". Rfam says of the family: U1 is a small nuclear RNA (snRNA) component of the spliceosome (involved in pre-mRNA splicing). Lineage: Eukaryota; Metazoa; Chordata; Mammalia; Primates; Cheirogaleidae. The record is from Rfam by way of RNAcentral.
UUACCAACAGGGUAGGGGAGAUACCAUAAUCACAAAGGUGGAUUUCCCAAGGCAAGGCUUAUCCAUUGCACUCUGGAUGUGCUGACUCCUGUGAUUUUUCCAAAUGAGGGAAACUCAACAGCAUAAUUUGUGGUCGUGGAGAACUGUGAUUGUGUUCUCCC